GACCCCAUCGUCUAACGGUUAGGACAUCGCCCUUUCACGGCGGUAACGGGGGUUCGAAUCCCCCUGGGGUCGCCA
RNAcentral lists this transfer RNA (75 nucleotides) under Acetobacter sp. CAG:977. RNAcentral's name for it is "transfer RNA-Glu(TTC)". It matches the Rfam family "tRNA". Rfam says of the family: Transfer RNA (tRNA) molecules are approximately 80 nucleotides in length. The record is from RNAcentral. RNAcentral also lists the same sequence under 1 other name. Lineage: Bacteria; Pseudomonadati; Pseudomonadota; Alphaproteobacteria; Acetobacterales; Acetobacteraceae.